GCUUCAAGGUGAACUCAACAUGAUUACUCCUGACUGUUUGAAGGUACAACCAACCUUCCUUUUCCCUUGGCUAUAAGAAGUUCAGAGGCAUCGUGGCCAGGAAGCAGGGUCUAUGCUCAGAAGCUUGCCCUGAGUUUGUGCACCCGAUGGGCUCCCAAACCUGCCUGCCAUUCCUGACGGAGCUGCCGGUGGUGCAGCCACUCCAUCACCAACCUGCUCCUUCCUUGGAAGAUUUAAAUAUGUUUGAUUGCAAAUGAAUGUUUUUAAAAUGUAUUUAAUGCCUUUUUUUUUUUUCUGUUCUCAACAUGACCACCCAAGAUUCAAACACAGAGAUUUCCAAGUUGUAUUUUUUCUUUCAGAACAUUAAUGAUUUUAAAAUCUGUCCCAACAGGGACUUGGGUUUUGUGCAACCAUCAGAGUGCUAAUGUGCAGAAGCCAGUUUAAAGAAAAUGGAGUGUUCUGGGGGUAAAAGCCUUAUUUAGGCCCACUCACUGACAUUUCUAGUACUGAGAAAAUAUCCUUGGUUGGCAUUUGUAACACAAAACACUAUAGAGUUGGUAUUUUUAAGUACCAGGUAAAUAUAAAUAAACCAGUAACGAAUUGCUGAGACAAUCUUGAACCCAGAUAGCAUUAGAAAGCUGAAAGCCCAAUGAAAUGACACUUUGACACUUAAACUCUGUGGAUAAAUCUUGCCUGUGGCUAUAAACAGAUGGUCAGAGGAAAAGUGCUUUAUGAUAAUUAACUUUUCUGAUUUGAAUGAAGGAAAAUGUAUUUAUUAAAACAAAGCUGUUUGCUGCUUUAUGCAGAUGCAGUGUUCUGUCUGCAAGGAAGUGGGGGGAAUGGAACGUGGGCUUGUGUCUCCACCCAAGUUCUUAACUAAGCUUCUCGCUCUCUCUAAUACUGCAUUCUGUUUCUCCUUUUGUGCCCUGAUUGUAACCCAAAAUUUAUGAACUAGAAAAGAAUGUCCGAUUUAAUAAGUUGCAUUUUUUUUCCUUAAGCACUUUAUGCAGAACAAUACAUGUUCUUCUGGUAGUGUUUGGAUAAUGAUUUUUAACACAUGCUAAUAAAAGCCAAGAAAAAAGCAUG
This is a long non-coding RNA of Bos taurus (domestic cattle), 1086 nucleotides long. Lineage: Eukaryota; Metazoa; Chordata; Mammalia; Artiodactyla; Bovidae. The record is from Ensembl.